This 257-nucleotide ribosomal RNA is filed under the name uncultured bacterium. RNAcentral's name for it is "partial 16S ribosomal RNA". It matches the Rfam family "Bacterial small subunit ribosomal RNA", at positions 524 to 776 of the family's 1533-position model. The record is from RNAcentral.
UACGUAGGGGGCAAGCGUUGUCCGGAUUUAUUGGGCGUAAAGAGCUCGUAGGUGGUUCGGUAAGUCGGAUGUGAAAUCUCCAGGCUACAACCCUGGAGGGGUCAUUCGAUACUGCCGUGACUAGAGUUCGGUAGGGGAGUGUGGAAUUCCUGGUGGGAGCGGUGAAAUGCGCAGAUAUCAGGAGGAACACCAGCGGCGAAGGCGGCGCUCUGGGCCGGUACUGACGCUGAGGAGCGAAAGCGUGGGGAGCAAACAGG